CCUACGGGAGGCAGCAGUGGGGAAUAUUGGACAAUGGGGGGAACCCUGAUCCAGCGACGCCGCGUGAGUGAAGAAGUAUUUCGGUAUGUAAAGCUCUAUCAGCAGGGAAGAAAGAAAUGACGGUACCUGACUAAGACGCCCCGGCUAACUACGUGCCAGCAGCCGCGGUAAUACGUGGGGGGCAAGCGUUAUCCGGAUGUACUGGGUGUAAAGGGAGCGUAGACGGCGAUGCAAGUCUGAAGUGAAAGGCGGGGGCCCAACCCCCGGACUGCUUUGGAAACUGUAUGGCUGGAGUGCAGGGGAGGUAAGUGGAAUUCCUAGUGUAGCGGUGAAAUGCGUAGAUAUUAGGAGGAACACCAGUGGCGAAGGCGGCUUACUGGACUGUAACUGACGUUGAGGCUCGAAAGCGUGGGGAGCAAACAGGAUUAGAUACCCGAGUAGUC
RNAcentral lists this ribosomal RNA (443 nucleotides) under uncultured bacterium. RNAcentral's name for it is "partial 16S ribosomal RNA". It matches the Rfam family "Bacterial small subunit ribosomal RNA", at positions 338 to 795 of the family's 1533-position model. The record is from RNAcentral.